Long non-coding RNA from Myripristis murdjan (pinecone soldierfish), 439 nucleotides. RefSeq lists it as uncharacterized. Lineage: Eukaryota; Metazoa; Chordata; Actinopteri; Holocentriformes; Holocentridae. The transcript is spliced from 4 exons. The record is from RefSeq and is a predicted model, not a curated record.
CAAGUUUACGAAUACGAGUAGAACGGUGCUGAAAUGACGUCACUCAGGUCGCAGGGGAAAAUAAUCGAUCCGAGAUUCUUCCAACCACGCAUGCGCAUGCAGCCCCAGAGGCAGACAGACAUGUUGGGCAACAGCCGACAGGGUGGCGCUGCUAGCUCCGAAGGAACAUCACAGGUUACACUUGAUUCUGCGGAGGAGCCCAUGGUACUGAAGUGUAUGUCAUGCUCCUGUGCAGCAGACUGCACACUUCAGUACCCUGAGCUUCAAGACUGUGCCGCUGCCACUCCCAUGUACCAGCACAUUGCAGACUGAGCACCUGCUGAGGACACAGGGCUUCUUCUGGAUCCUCACAUCAUGGCCAGCGGGGAAAAACUGAAACACAUUCAUCCACAACCGGGGAUAUGCAAAUUGCUGCAUGGGCUUGAUGACCUUCAUUGGU